CAGACAAAGCAGGAUUACAUAUUGCGCAUGCCAAAGCACGGCUGUGCAAGACGUAGACUACUACAGAUAUACACACCCCAGGCCCGAGCAUAUAACACUGAGAAUCACCUCCAUAGUAAAGACUUCAAGAUGGGAUCAACUAUGCAUACAGCACAUACAAUCCCAUUCUGCAGACAAUGAAGCGGUAAUACUCAGAUAUGUAUGAUCUCGAUCGACAACACACUUAUUCCUUUCCUUGGAAGCUUCUAGUAGUCGUCGGUGUUGUUCCUGCCCGACCUACUCAUCGGAGCCGGACUUGUUGUAGCCUCCGCUGUAGUCAUCGGUUCCUGACUUGCUGCUGCGGCCAUAGUCAUCGCCGCUGGACUUGUUGUAGCCUCCGUCAUAGUUGUCCGUGCUAGACUUGUUGUAGCCACCGCUGCCAUAGUCGUCAGUGUUGGAGGUGUUCUUACCGCUGCCAUAGUCGUCGGUGCUCGACUUGUUGUAGCCGCUGCCGCCGUAGCCAUCAGUGCUGGAGUUCUUGUAGCCACCAUCAUAGUCGUCAGAGCUUGGCUUCUUGUAUUCGUCGCUGGUGGUGGACUUGCUGUAUCCACCACUGCCACUGUAGUCAUCGGUGCCAGAUUUGUUGUAGUCGCUGCUUAG
Molecule: long non-coding RNA, 639 nt
Filed under: Setaria viridis
Lineage: Eukaryota; Viridiplantae; Streptophyta; Magnoliopsida; Poales; Poaceae
Description: long non-coding RNA (SVIR_LNC008309)
Source: RNAcentral